CAGGGAAUCUUGCGCAAUGGGCGAAAGCCUGACGCAGCGACACCGCGUGAAGGAUGAAGGUCUUAGGAUUGUAAACUUCUUUUCUAGGGGAAGAGUAAGGACGGUACCUUAGGAAUAAGGAUCGGCUAACUACGUGCCAGCAGCCGCGGUAAUACGUAGGAUCCGAGCGUUGUCCGGAUUUACUGGGCGUAAAGGGUGUGUAGGCGGUAUGGUAAGUCUCAUGUGAAAUCUCCCGGCUCAACUGGGAGGGGUCAUGGGAAACUGUCAAACUCGAGGGCAGCAGAGGAGAGCGGAAUUCCGGGAGUAGUGGUGAAAUGCGUAGAUACCCGGAGGAACACCCGUGGCGAAAGCGGCUCUCUGGGCUGUACCUGACGCUGAUACACGAAAGCGUGGGGAGCAAACCGGAUUAGAUACCCCCGUAGUCC
This 425-nucleotide ribosomal RNA is filed under the name uncultured prokaryote. RNAcentral describes it as "bacterial SSU rRNA". It matches the Rfam family "Bacterial small subunit ribosomal RNA", at positions 355 to 796 of the family's 1533-position model. The record is from RNAcentral.